RNAcentral lists this ribosomal RNA (325 nucleotides) under uncultured bacterium. Its description in RNAcentral is "bacterial SSU rRNA". It matches the Rfam family "Bacterial small subunit ribosomal RNA", at positions 30 to 355 of the family's 1533-position model. The record is from RNAcentral.
AUUGAACGCUGGCGGCAUGCUUUACACAUGCAAGUCGAACGGUAACGGGGACUUCGGUCUGCCGACGAGUGGCGAACGGGUGAGUAAUAUAUCGGAACGUGCCCAGUAAUGGGGGAUAGCUCGGCGAAAGCCGGAUUAAUACCGCAUACGCCCUGAGGGGGAAAGUGGGGGAUCUUCGGACCUCACGUUAUUGGAGCGGCCGAUAUCAGAUUAGCUAGUUGGUGGGGUAAAGGCCUACCAAGGCGACGAUCUGUAGCUGGUCUGAGAGGAUGAUCAGCCACACUGGGACUGAGACACGGCCCAGACUCCUACGGGAGGCAGCAGU